Molecule: ribosomal RNA, 473 nt
Filed under: uncultured bacterium
Lineage: Bacteria
Description: partial 16S ribosomal RNA
Rfam family: Bacterial small subunit ribosomal RNA
Source: RNAcentral
AACGAACGCUGGCGGCAUGCCUAACACAUGCAAGUCGAACGAGACCUUCGGGUCUAGUGGCGCACGGGUGCGUAACGCGUGGGAACCUGCCCUUAGGUUCGGAAUAACUCCCCGAAAGGGGUGCUAAUACCGGAUAAUGUCUUCGGACCAAAGAUUUAUCGCCUUUGGAUGGGCCCGCGUUGGAUUAGCUAGUUGGUAGGGUAAAAGCCUACCAAGGCGACGAUCCAUAGCUGGUCUGAGAGGAUGAUCAGCCACACUGGGACUGAGACACGGCCCAGACACGUGAGGGCGGCAGCAGUGGAGAGACUGACACGCGGGGCGAAAGCAUGAUGAAGCGAUGCGGGGUGGUGGAUGAGGGACUGGUGGUUGUCAAGCUGUGUUCCUGGGGAGGAAAAUGACAGCGGCGGGAGAAGAACCCCCGGCCAACGCGUCGCCAGCGGCAGCAGUACAACUCGAGGAGAACACGUAUGAAC